AGGGUUGUGGCUCAAUUGUAGAGCAUCUGCUUAGCGUGCAGAGGGGCUUGGGUUCCAUCCCCAACAUCUCCU
Molecule: transfer RNA, 72 nt
Filed under: Sphaerodactylus townsendi
Lineage: Eukaryota; Metazoa; Chordata; Lepidosauria; Squamata; Sphaerodactylidae
Description: tRNA-Ala
Rfam family: tRNA
About the family: Transfer RNA (tRNA) molecules are approximately 80 nucleotides in length. Their secondary structure includes four short double-helical elements and three loops (D, anti-codon, and T loops).
Source: RNAcentral